This 233-nucleotide ribosomal RNA is filed under the name Herpotrichiellaceae sp. RNAcentral describes it as "partial small subunit ribosomal RNA". The stretch from base 99 to 233 matches the Rfam family "Eukaryotic small subunit ribosomal RNA", at positions 1667 to 1799 of the family's 1831-position model. The record is from RNAcentral. Lineage: Eukaryota; Fungi; Ascomycota; Eurotiomycetes; Chaetothyriales; Herpotrichiellaceae.
AGUUCACAGACUAUGUGAAGACAGGCUCCCUAUUGUAUGUAGGGAGUUGUAGAUAUAGUCGGUCUCCCCUAUAAGUAGGAUGAGAGAAACGUUGUACACACCGCCCGUCGCUACUACCGAUUGAAUGGCUCAGUGAGGCCUUGGGACUGGCUCAGAGAGGUUGGCAACGACCACUCAGAGCCGGAAACUCGAUCAAACUUGGUCAUUUAGAGGAAGUAAAAGUCGUAACAAGG